This 211-nucleotide long non-coding RNA is filed under the name Mytilus galloprovincialis (Mediterranean mussel). The record is from RNAcentral. Lineage: Eukaryota; Metazoa; Mollusca; Bivalvia; Mytilida; Mytilidae.
GGCAGGUGAAGUUGGUAUAUUGUUGCAAAGGUGGGGGAACAUUGAUGAAUAGAGUAACGAGGUUAAAAUCACAGCAUUACCUAAAAAAGGGGAGCAUUCAGAAAAACGGAUCAAUAAUAAUACGAUGGACAUUGUUUGUCGUUAGAUCUUUUCACAAAUAAUUUCGUAACUAUUUGAUUUCAUAUUGUUGACAGUGAAAGGCCAACUUACG